UCAGCUCUUACACUUUCCUCUUAACAGCACCUUGUAAAAGCAGAAGAGAUGAAGGAGGAGAGGAGCCGGAGUGCACAGCAAACAUCAAACUGUUCAUUAAAUCUUCAAAGACAACAUCCCAAUGCUGUGUGCCCAGUAGGAGAGGCUUAAUCUGUUAGCUGGAAAAUGCCCACGUUGAGAAUGACUAAUCCUGUACCUGGAGAAUGGAGAUAUUUAAUGCUCCCUGCAGCAGAAGAGCAGGUGGAUGCCUCUCAGUGGCACACUACAUAGAGAGAAGACAUGAAGAGCUGCAGGGAAGCCAAUGUGGAAAGCCAUGAAGGCUUUCAACACCCACCUGUAAUGUCCAGUGUUGUUCUGAAGUCUGAUGUGAAUUUUUCUCUCUGAAGUGGAGAUUUGGGGAUUUGUGUUUAUGGGAAUGCCAGAUUGAUCUCAUGGAUUAGAUUCUGGUGGUGCAUCAAACAACACCUGCCAUGAAUAUGAACAGUCCUGAAUGAGUUACUCAGGGUAAUGCAGAUGGGGCUGAUGACCAGCAAGAAGGGCUUGGCCAGAACAACGGAGAUCCUAAGCUGAAAUGUGCUCGUGCUUCGUCACUGUAAUUAUUUUCAUGAUAAAUGCCAGUUCUGAUUAAACAAUUAUCUGUCAUAAUUGUCUCCAAAUCUGUCAUUACCCAGGAGUCAGCUGUCAUUUGCAAAGAUGUGCUUCUGGAAACGUCUCUGCCUAAUUCCAGUGUGAUGACCCAGCAGAGCAUUGCUGCAGAAUACAGAAAUCACCCUGGGGUGCAACGAGAGUAGAACAGCUCCACCCCAAUGCUCCCCAGAUGCUGAUCUGGUGUCUUGGGGCUGCAGUAGCAUAGCACAAUCCUCAGUGCUGCUCUUG
Molecule: long non-coding RNA, 876 nt
Filed under: Gallus gallus (chicken)
Lineage: Eukaryota; Metazoa; Chordata; Aves; Galliformes; Phasianidae
Description: long non-coding RNA NONGGAT004748
Source: RNAcentral